RNAcentral lists this ribosomal RNA (663 nucleotides) under uncultured bacterium. Its description in RNAcentral is "bacterial SSU rRNA". It matches the Rfam family "Bacterial small subunit ribosomal RNA", at positions 68 to 701 of the family's 1533-position model. The record is from RNAcentral.
GAAAUCCCGAGCUUGCUUGGGAGAGUAAAGUGGCGCACGGGUGAGUAACGCGUGGGUAACCCACCUUCGAAUCUGGGAUAAACUCCGCGAAAGCGGUGCUAAUACCGGAUAAGACCACAGCCGUUUCGGCGGCAGAGGUAAAAGCUGACCUCUCCAUGGAAGUUAGCGUUCGAGGACGGGCCCGCGUCCUAUCAGCUUGUUGGUGGGGUAAAAGCCUACCAAGGCAGCGACGGGUAGCUGGUUUGAGAGGAUGAUCAGCCACACUGGAACUGGAACACGGUCCAGACUCCUACGGGAGGCAGCAGUGAGGAAUUUUGCGCAAUGGGGGAAACCCUGACGCAGCAACGCCGCGUGGGUGAAGAAGGCUUUCGGGUCGUAAAGCCCUGUCAGGUGGGAAGAAACUCUUCAGUACUAAUAAUGCUGAAGCUUGACGGUACCACCAGAGGAAGCACCGGCCAACUCCGUGCCAGCAGCCGCGGUAAUACGGAGGGUGCAAGCGUUGUUCGGAAUUAUUGGGCGUAAAGAGCGUGUANGCGGCUUGGUAAGUCAGAUGUGAAAGCCCUGGGCUCAACCCAGGGAAGUGCAUUUGAAACUACCAGACUUGAGUACGGGGAGAGGAGGGGGGAAUUCCCGGUGUAAAAGGUGAAAUUCGUAGAUAUCGGG